CCCACACUGCACUUCUGUUGCAUUUACAGCCUUGGUGCACAUCUGCCAGCAAGUAGAAUCCGUUCCCCUCUCUUGUGUCUCACUGGAUUUAUGACUCGCUGUCACGAGCACCUCUUCAGAGAAGCCCACCUCCCUCUCUCGUUUGAUUCCCCGGCCAUCCUUAUCAAAGACCUUCCAGGUGAACAGGCAGCCAUCCUCCGCAACAGUCAGCAGGAACUGGUCGUCAAAGAUUCGGACGGAGCGGUCCAGAGAACAGGUGGCAAUGAGGGGCUUCCGGAUGCAGGUAGCUAGACCAGUGAUGGAUGCUGAGUGCAGUGGGUACAGCAGGUACUCGAAAUGGGCAGGCUCUCCCUGGGGAAACCACACAGAACGAGAUGGGUGAGCAAAAGGCUGACUGUGUCCUUCAGCAUGAAUUAGUGCCUGGGACCCUUAAUUAGCCUGUGCAUACAGAAACCAGGCUGAGGCAAACUGUUUCAGCGUUACACAUGGUUUUCCUGAGGCACUAUUAUUUUUGGAAUAUUGGUGGAACCUAUGGGCGAGCCUAUUACGGCCCAUUUUUGUUUGUUUUUUUCCAAACCAGUAUAAUCUCUAACUGCAUCUUCAGUACUUUUUCUUACACCCACAGG
Molecule: long non-coding RNA, 626 nt
Organism: Acomys russatus (golden spiny mouse)
Lineage: Eukaryota; Metazoa; Chordata; Mammalia; Rodentia; Muridae
Exons: 3
Source: RefSeq, a predicted model, not a curated record